This 265-nucleotide ribosomal RNA is filed under the name uncultured bacterium. RNAcentral describes it as "partial 16S ribosomal RNA". It matches the Rfam family "Bacterial small subunit ribosomal RNA", at positions 15 to 263 of the family's 1533-position model. The record is from RNAcentral.
GAUCAUGGCUCAGGAUGAACGCUGGCGGCGUGCUUAACACAUGCAAGUCGAACGGGAAUUACUUUAUUGAAACUUCGGUCGAUUUAAUUUAAUUCUAGUGGCGACGGGUGAGUAACGCGUGGGUAACCUGCCUCAUACAGGGGGAUAACAGUUAGAAAUGACUGCUAAUACCGCAUAAGACCACGGUACCGCAUGGUACAGUGGUAAAAACUCCGGUGGUAUGAGAUGGACCCGCGUCUGAUUAGGUAGUUGGUGGGGUAACCGG